This 1106-nucleotide ribosomal RNA is filed under the name Bacillus siamensis. Its description in RNAcentral is "bacterial SSU rRNA". It matches the Rfam family "Bacterial small subunit ribosomal RNA", at positions 76 to 1162 of the family's 1533-position model. The record is from RNAcentral. Lineage: Bacteria; Bacillati; Bacillota; Bacilli; Caryophanales; Bacillaceae.
GAGCUUGCUCCCUGAUGUUAGCGGCGGACGGGUGUAGUAACACGUGGGUAACCUGCCUGUAAGACUGGGAUAACUCCGGGAAACCGGGGCUAAUACCGGAUGGUUGUUUGAACCGCAUGGUUCAGACAUAAAAGGUGGCUUCGGCUACCACUUACAGAUGGACCCGCGGCGCAUUAGCUAGUUGGUGAGGUAACGGCUCACCAAGGCGACGAUGCGUAGCCGACCUGAGAGGGUGAUCGGCCACACUGGGACUGAGACACGGCCCAGACUCCUACGGGAGGCAGCAGUAGGGAAUCUUCCGCAAUGGACGAAAGUCUGACGGAGCAACGCCGCGUGAGUGAUGAAGGUUUUCGGAUCGUAAAGCUCUGUUGUUAGGGAAGAACAAGUGCCGUUCAAAUAGGGCGGCACCUUGACGGUACCUAACCAGAAAGCCACGGCUAACUACGUGCCAGCAGCCGCGGUAAUACGUAGGUGGCAAGCGUUGUCCGGAAUUAUUGGGCGUAAAGGGCUCGCAGGCGGUUUCUUAAGUCUGAUGUGAAAGCCCCCGGCUCAACCGGGGAGGGUCAUUGGAAACUGGGGAACUUGAGUGCAGAAGAGGAGAGUGGAAUUCCACGUGUAGCGGUGAAAUGCGUAGAGAUGUGGAGGAACACCAGUGGCGAAAGGCGACUCUCUGGUCUGUAACUGACGCUGAGGAGCGAAAGCGUGGGGAGCGAACAGGAUUAGAUACCCUGGUAGUCCACGCCGUAAACGAUGAGUGCUAAGUGUUAGGGGGUUUCCGCCCCUUAGUGCUGCAGCUAACGCAUUAAGCACUCCGCCUGGGGAGUACGGUCGCAAGACUGAAACUCAAAGGGAAUUUGACGGGGGCCCGCACAAGCGGUGGAGCAUGUGGUUUAAUUCGAAGCAACGCGAAGAACCUUACCAGGUCUUGACAUCCUCUGACAAUCCUAGAGAUAGGACGUCCCCUUCGGGGGCAGAGUGACAGGUGGUGCAAUGGUUGUCGUCAGCUCGUGUCGUGAGAUGUUGGGUUAAGUCCCGCAACGAGCGCAACCCUUGAUCUUAGUUGCCAGCAUUCAGUUGGGCACUCUAAGGUGACUGCCGGUGACAAA